This 899-nucleotide ribosomal RNA is filed under the name uncultured archaeon. RNAcentral describes it as "bacterial SSU rRNA". It matches the Rfam family "Archaeal small subunit ribosomal RNA", at positions 17 to 895 of the family's 1478-position model. The record is from RNAcentral.
CGGGACCCCACUGCUAUCGAGGUGGGACUAAGCCAUGCUAGUCGAACGCACAGAACUAUGUCUGUGAGUGGCAUACUGCUCAGUAACACGUAGCUAACCUACCCUUUAGGACGUUCACAACCCCGAGAAAUUGGGGCUAAUAAGCGAUAGAUAUGAUGUCCUGGAAUGGUAUUAUGUCUAAAGGUAUCCCAUACAUGUUUGGUAUACGCCUAAGGAUGGGGCUGCGGCUGAUCAGGCUGUUGGUGAGGUAAUGGCUCACCAAACCAUUGACCAGUACGGGCCAUGAGAGUGGUAGCCCGGAGAUGGACACUGAGACAAGGGUCCAGGCCCUACGGGGCGCAGCAGGCGCGAAACCUCCUCAAUGCACUAACGUGCGAAGGGGUUACCUCGAGUGCCAUCUGAAAAAGGUGGCUUUUCCUUGGUCUAAAUAGCCUUGGGAAUAAGAGGGGGGCAAGACUGGUGUCAGCCGCCGCGGUAACACCAGCCCCUCGAGUGGUGGGGAUGAUUAUUUGGCCUAAAGCGUCCGUAGCCGGCCGGGUAAGUUUCCCGUUAAAUCCAACGUCUCAAGCGUUGGACCGCGGGAAAUACUGUCUGGCUAGAGAGUGGGAGAGGUAAGCGGUAUUCUGGGGGUAGGGGCGAAAUCCUUUGAUCCCCGGAGGACCACCAGUGGCGAAGGCUGCUUACUAGAACACGUCUGACGGUCAGGGACGAAAGCUGGGGUAGCGAACCGGAUUAGAUACCCGGGUAGUCCCAGCUGUAAACGAUGCAUGCUAGGUGUUGGGUUGGCCACGAGCCACCCCAGUGCCGCAGGGAAGCCGUUAAGCAUGCCGCCUGGGAAGUACGAUCGCAAGAUUGAAACUUAAAGGAAUUGGCGGGGGAGCACCACCAGGCGUGAAGCC